This 1039-nucleotide long non-coding RNA is filed under the name Mus musculus (house mouse). RNAcentral describes it as "predicted gene, 26861". The record is from RNAcentral. Lineage: Eukaryota; Metazoa; Chordata; Mammalia; Rodentia; Muridae.
GCAACUCAAAGAGCUUCCCAGUGUGGAUGGACCUCACCGGGCUGAGAUCCCAGAGUGUACAGCAGUAAAAGGUUUACGACCCAAUGCCAUUUUAAGAGAAGAAAGAAGAAAAAAGGAGAGGCGGCGCCAUCUUCGGCUCCAGACAACCGGCCACCUUCCUGGCGAGAGCCACAGAGCUUCUGAGGCAGCGCCAUCUUCAGCUCCAGACAACCGGCCACCUUCCUGGCGAGAGCCACAGAGCUUCUGAGGCAGCGCCAUCUUCAGCUCCAGACAACCGGCCACCUUCCUGGCGAGAGCCACAGAGCUUCUGAGGCGGCGCCAUCUUCGGCUCCAGAAAACCGGCCACCUUCCUGUAUAUGUCCUACAGUGUUGAACAAAACACAAGAAGAAGAUAUUUGGGGCCAUGAAUAACUCAAGGACCCAGCCAGAUCUCAACAGUGGCACCUGCCCAACCUGCCAUUGUGCAAGUUUCUGCCACAUACUUUGAGAAGACACCUUCAAAGCUUAACAGGAGACCCUUUCAUCCUUACUUUAGAUGAACCUGAUAUUCUCAACCUGAGUGCUCUGGAUCUCAUCAUCCUGUAUAAAUCAUAAAUAAGUGCAGUACCAACAGAGGCCAGAAGAGGUUUCAAAUCUCUUGGAGCUACUGUUACAGGCUGUGGCAGGAGCUAUAUAGUCCAUUCUGGUCUCUAACUCCCCAUGUAGCUGAAGUUGACUCUAAACUUCUGAUUCCUGCCUUCACAGAUGAGGAUUGCGAUUAUGGAUUCAGAAGUACAGUCCAUUAUCAUCAAAUUGGAAGCAUGGCAGCAUCUAGGGACUCUCCAAAUCCUUUUGGCAGACCAAGCAUUCCUCCUUCCAGCCCGGGGAUCAGAUGUUCAAGCAAGUUAAAGUCAAUGAAGCUGUACUUGCCUCAGCUUACAUUCACCUCAUGUCAUAGAUGUCAAGACUUCACACACCUUUCCUCGCUGAAUUAAGUACCAGUUUUUCUUCUUUGCAGAAUAUAAAUAAUGUGUAGGAAUAAAUGGAGAAAAAAGCCGUC